This 918-nucleotide long non-coding RNA is filed under the name Gadus morhua (Atlantic cod). RNAcentral's name for it is "lncRNA (ENSGMOG00000026103.1)". The record is from RNAcentral. Lineage: Eukaryota; Metazoa; Chordata; Actinopteri; Gadiformes; Gadidae.
AUGGAAGGAGGGAAUACCACUUUAUUGAAGCUCCACAUGCUGGCUCCGGCCACGCCUAACGCUCACCAGACCUCUCUCCUGAGGGGAUCCAGGCUCCACAACGCCCCCAACAGGAGCCAGGCGGCGCUGCAGCCCGGCCAGCUGGGCAAGGCCGGGCCCGGCGGGGAGGGCAGGCACGCGGUCGCGGGCGGCUCCCUGUCCAGGAGGGGGAGCCAGAGGGCCAGAGACGGCAGCAGUGACUCCGCCCACUCCCAGCAUAACCACGCCCACCGAGGAAGGCGCUCCUCGCACCGGCAGAAGAAGUCCAAAGGCGUCCACUCGUCCAAGCGGCGCCACCACCGCUCGGGGCGGGGCCAGGCCCACCGGCGGAGCCAGUCGGCGUCGCCGGGCCGCCACUCGGCCAGGAAGAGGGCGGGGUCCCGGGGCGGGCAGCAGCCCCGGCAGCGCAGCAGCUCCUGGAGCAGCGGCCGCUCGUCGUCGGGGUCCCCCUCCAGGGACCGGGGGGCCAGCAAGGCCAAGUCUCCCCACAGCCGACAGAACAACUCCAGGGAUCGGGACAGUGCCAACCACUCGGAGGGGGAAGGCCGCGGCGCCCGGCGGCGUUCCCGGAGCUACUCGCCCAUCAGGAAGAGGAGGAGAGACUCCCCCAGCUUCAUGGAGGCCCGCAGGAUAACCAGCGCCCGCAAGAGGCCCAUCCCGUACUACCGGCCCAGCCCCUCGUCCUCUUCCUCGUCCUCCUCUUCGUCGUCGUCCAGCGCGGCCAGCACGCCGUCUCGCAGCCGGAGUCGCAGCCGGAGUCGCAGCCGGAGCCGCAGCUACGGCAGCUACAGCAGCCGCAGCCGCAGUCGGAGCCGGAGGCGUUCCCAUAGCAACCGCAGCUACGACAGCCGCAGUAGCUACGACAGCCCGGGCUUCUGA